Pteropus alecto (black flying fox) is the source of this 116-nucleotide non-coding RNA. Lineage: Eukaryota; Metazoa; Chordata; Mammalia; Chiroptera; Pteropodidae. The record is from Rfam.
GUCUACAGCCAUGCCACCCUGAACAAGCCUGAUGUCUGAUUUUGGAAGCUAAGCAGGGUUGAGCCUGGUUAGUACUUAGAUGGGAGACCACAUAGGAAGUCCAGGUGCUGUAGGCA